This is a non-coding RNA of Schistosoma haematobium, 46 nucleotides long. The record is from Rfam. Lineage: Eukaryota; Metazoa; Platyhelminthes; Trematoda; Strigeidida; Schistosomatidae.
ACCCAGCUGACGAGUCCUAAAUAGGACGAAACGUGUCAAACUGGAU